This 979-nucleotide ribosomal RNA is filed under the name Rhizoctonia solani. Its description in RNAcentral is "LSU rRNA". It matches the Rfam family "Eukaryotic large subunit ribosomal RNA", at positions 64 to 1420 of the family's 3401-position model. Lineage: Eukaryota; Fungi; Basidiomycota; Agaricomycetes; Cantharellales; Ceratobasidiaceae. The record is from RNAcentral.
ACUAACAGGAUUCUCCUAGUAACGGCGAGUGAACGCGGGAAGAGCUCAAAUUUAAAAUCUGGCAGUGUAUUCUGUCCGAGUUGUAGUCUAGAGAAGCAUCAUCCGUGCUGGACCAUGUACAAGUCUCUUGGAACAGAGCGUCAUAGAGGGUGAGAAUCCCGUCCUUGACAUGGACUCCCAGUGCUUUGUGUUGUGCUCUCAACGAGUCGAGUUGUUUGGGAAUGCAGCUCAAAAUGGGUGGUAAAUUCCAUCUAAAGCUAAAUAUUGGCGAGAGACCGAUAGCGAACAAGUACCGUGAGGGAAAGAUGAAAAGCACUUUGGAGAGAGAGUUAAACAGUACGUGAAAUUGUUGAAAUGGAAACGCUUGAAGUCAGUCGCGUUCUCUGGGAUUCAGCCUUGCUUUUGCUUGGUGCAUUUCCUAGUCUACGGGCCAGCAUGAAUUUUGACCAAUGGAAAAAGGCUGGGGGAAUGUGGCACCUUCGGGUGUGUUAUAGCCCCUUGUCACAUACGUUGGUUGGGAUUGAGGUCUUAGUGCACGCUUCGGUUGUGCUUUGAUGCUGGCGUAAUGGCUUUAAACGACCCGUCUUGAAACACGGACCAAGGAGUCUAACAUGUCUGCGAGUGUUUGGGUGCAAAACCCGAGCGCGUAAUGAAAGUGAUAGUUGGGAACCUUUCACGAGGGGCACCGACGCCCGGACCAGACCUUCUGUGACGGAUCCGAGGUAGAGCAUAUAUGUUGGGACCCGAAAGAUGGUGAACUAUGCCUGCAUAGGGUGAAGCCAGAGGAAACUCUGGUGGAGGCUCGUAGCGAUUCUGACGUGCAAAUCGAUCGUCAAAUGUGGGUAUAGGGGCGAAAGACUAAUCGAACCAUUGGUUAUGCUACUUGGUGGUUAAGAGGCAUCUGAAAGGAUUAGCCUAGUGAGCGUUGRGGCUUGCAACACUGUCAAAUUGCGGGGACGUCCUAAAGCUUUUGCGACCA